UAGGGAAUCUUCGGCAAUGGACGAAAGUCUGACCGAGCAACGCCGCGUGAGUGAAGAAGGUCUUCGGAUCGUAAAACUCUGUUGUUAGAGAAGAACAAGGACGUUAGUAACUGAACGUCCCCUGACGGUAUCUAACCAGAAAGCCACGGCUAACUACGUGCCAGCAGCCGCGGUAAUACGUAGGUGGCUAGCGUUGUCCGGAUUUAUUGGGCGUAAAGCGAGCGCAGGCGGUUUCUUAAGUCUGAUGUGAAAGCCCCCGGCUCAACCGGGGAGGGUCAUUGGAAACUGGGAGACUUGAGUGCAGAAGAGGAGAGUGGAAUUCCAUGUGUAGCGGUGAAAUGCGUAGAUAUAUGGAGGAACACCAGUGGCGAAGGCGGCUCUCUGGUCUGUAACUGACGCUGAGGCUCGAAAGCGUGGGGAGCAAACAGG
This 429-nucleotide ribosomal RNA is filed under the name Gemmatimonadota bacterium. RNAcentral's name for it is "Gemmatimonadetes bacterium partial 16S ribosomal RNA". It matches the Rfam family "Bacterial small subunit ribosomal RNA", at positions 355 to 776 of the family's 1533-position model. The record is from RNAcentral. Lineage: Bacteria; Pseudomonadati; Gemmatimonadota.